This is a long non-coding RNA of Mustela lutreola (European mink), 2581 nucleotides long. RefSeq lists it as uncharacterized. Lineage: Eukaryota; Metazoa; Chordata; Mammalia; Carnivora; Mustelidae. The transcript is spliced from 5 exons. The record is from RefSeq and is a predicted model, not a curated record.
AUCUCCUGCCUCGGGGACUGCAGGGCCUGUGUUUAGGUAACCUUUAUUUUACUUAAUAAUGGUCCCAAAGCACAAGUCAGUGAUGGUGGCAAUUAGCAUAUGGCAGAGAGAAGCCUCAAAGUGCUUCCUUUAAGUGAAAAGGUGAAAGUUUUCAACUUGAUAAGGAAAGAAAAAGAACCCUAUGCCGCGGCUGCCAAGAUUUACGGAGUAAAGAAAGAAAAGUAUCUAUUAUUGCCAGGCAUACACUGAAUGGUGGCUUUAUUUGAACAACUCCCAUCUUCCUUUCUGAGGAGCAGCAUUCAAGUAGCCAAGUGUCCUAAAGGAUCUGAUACAACAGCAGGAGUUUCCAGGGUGAGCCAGUGAUUGAGUCAGGUGUUUCAUGGUUUCAGGUCUUACAGGUUCUGGGAAAUGAAAAUAAGUGAUCUGGAAGCCCCCAGCUUCUGGACAACCUUCUCUGGAAGUUGGAUAUCGUAAAGGUCCUGCACCCGAAGAGAGCUGUACUUAGAAAGAAGGUGCCUUGAGUUUUGAUGAGCGACAGGUUCUGUAAUCACCUCAGAGUAAAGAUGACAGCGUGUUUCUAGAGGCUGUUCCGUGCGGAUGAUGGCACAGUGCCAAAGCACAGGUCGGUGAUGCAGACCAUGCGGACCAGGCUUUGAGUGGGGGCUGGAUCCUCUUAGGAUGGAAAUUCAAAAGGAGAAAAUGGUCCACAGGGGAGAGAGAAAUUAAGAAACACAUCUAAGGGAAAAGGGAGUUUUCUUUAAGAAAGCGUUCUGAGCACUUUGCAAUUUAGAAAGGAGCGUUGCCCCUCCACCCUGCCCCGAUAAACUGUUCUUUAUUUCUCUCUGUAGCAAACCAUAUUGCUGAUUAACCACUGCUUUCAUAAACUUCAAGUGGGCCAUUCACACUGCCUCACUGCUGCUUAAUGUCCUGUACUGAGCUUGCUCUUCCUGCAGUGCCGGCCUCGUGUUUUGUUUUUAUUAGAAAUUCACCUCGCCUUGUCUACUGAGGGGAAGGAGAGGGGAAAUCACACCCCAGAGCUCCGCAAGCCCAUAAAAUGGCAGAGCUUCCUGGAGAAGGCUGUCCUGAACCCCAAGGCCCUGGCUGCCUGCGCCGUAAUGAAAUGCAUGACUACGGAAGACAAUAAUAAUUGCAGCGAAGGCUCGUUCCAGCUCCCGGAUGAUUUGGUGCUGUCAGGAGUGCGCUGUCCUCUGACAUCCCAGGAGGCGAACAGCACCAGUGACUGCAGGCCCUGAUUGGGGCAGUGAAAUAUUGCUGGCAAAAAUUAAAAGGUCCCCGUGUCAAAAUAAUUCAUGAUAUGCAUAUCUUCCAUUCUGAUGAAACGGCUGAUAUCCGGAUUAGCAAGAUAAUAAAACUGAUCAGGCUACAGUUAAACAAUUUAAGUUGGAGAGCUGUUCAUUUUGUAGGUGUCACUUGUCAGAUCAAGGGGUCAAAGCAGAAUGAAAGGCUCUCCCCGGUAACCUUCCGACGAUGUGGAUCUGGAAUGUUCUUCAUGAUUUGUCCAAAGUUUUCAUCAUCGGGCUGCCGACUAGCAUUACCGCGGCAGGCUGUGUUCUGACAUUCAAAUCCCCGGAAUGACAGGUUAUUAGGAGAGGAGGACUGGCUCUACAUACAUUAAGCGCCGUAUCUCUGACCUGUAAUGUGAACUGAUAGUGAUAUUGUAAUUGAGUGAGUCUGAAAAAAAAAAGAGGGGGGAGUCUUUAUUAAAACAUGGGAAUAGAAAGGAAAGCAUUUAUAUUUCUGAUGAUUUGUGGGUUUGUAAAAUAAGCUUUUUGGUGAUGAUUUAUUUUCCGAUUCUACAAGGCUGAGUGCUGUGCAUAGUGUUUAUUUGGUGUAACAGUUAUUAAACUAAGAUAACACAAACUCUCUCAUCUUCUUUCCACAUGCUGAGCAGGCACAGAUCAAAAGAGAUUUGUUCUAUUAAAGGCAGUAGCUUUAAAAGGAACAAAAUGGACCCAAGUACAACCCGGGGCCAGGACUGCUCUUUAGGAUGUUUGCCUUACAGCUCUGGCGUCACGAGCUGCUCCGCCUGAGGCUGAGAUCUCUCUCCUCCAGGAGCCCGGCUGAGGACGCUGGGCAGCCUCCUUUAUUGGUGUCAAUGACUCCACUGUGGGGUGGCGUCGUGCACUGGGAAACUAAUUUAAUGUGUGUUAACGGGGUCUUAGGUGAUACCUUUUAGCUUUCUCAUGAAAUACCCUUGUUAUUAGGGAGCGAGGCAGGCAAAUCACUGAAUUCAUCGGUGGUUGUGGGCCUCCUGAAAGAGCCUGACUCUUUGGUGACCAUAAAGAAGCUCAGUGGGGGCACUUGGGUGGGCUUGGUCGUUGAGCGUCUGACUCUUGCUUUCAGCUUAGGUCAUGAUCUCAGGGUCAUGGGAUCAAGUUCCACACUGGGCUCUGUGUUCGGUGGGGAGUCUUCUUGGGAUCCCCUCUCUCUCUCUUCCUUCGCUCCUCCCUUCUCCUCUCUAAAAUGAAUAAAUAAAUCUUUAAAAGUAAAAAGAAACUCAGUAUGGGAGUAUAUGUGUGUGUGUAUGUGUGUGCACAUGUAUGUGUGUAGGUGCACACAU